Molecule: ribosomal RNA, 524 nt
Filed under: uncultured bacterium
Lineage: Bacteria
Description: partial 16S ribosomal RNA
Rfam family: Bacterial small subunit ribosomal RNA
Source: RNAcentral
GACGAACGCUGGCGGCGUGCCUAAUACAUGCAAGUCGAGCGCAGGAAAUCAUCCGAACCCUUCGGGGGGACGUUGAUGGAAUGAGCGGCGGACGGGUGAGUAACACGUAAAGAACCUGCCCUCAGGUCUGGGAUAACCACGAGAAAUCGGGGCUAAUACCGGAUGGGUCAUCGGACCGCAUGGUCCGAGGAUGAAAGGCGCUUCGGCGUCGCCUGGAGAUGGCUUUGCGGUGCAUUAGCUAGUUGGUGGGGUAAUGGCCCACCAAGGCGACGAUGCAUAGCCGACCUGAGAGGGUGAUCGGCCACACUGGGACUGGGACACGGCCCAGACUCCUACGGGAGGCAGCAGUAGGGAAUCUUCCACAGUGGACGAAAGUCUGAUGGAGCAACGCCGCGUGAACGAUGAAGGCCUUCGGGUCGUAAAGUUCUGUUGUAAGGGAAGAACAAGUGCCGCAGGCAAUGGCGGCACCUUGACGGUACCUUGCGAGAAAGCCACGGCUAACUACGUGCCAGCCGCCGCAGUAA